ACAAUUAGCUGUUGGGACACUAGAUGUNUUAGUAGCGAAGCUAACGCGUGAAAUUGUCCGCCUGGGGAGUACGGUCGCAAGAUUAAAACUCAAAGGAAUUGACGGGGACCCGCACAAGCGGUGGAUGAUGUGGAUUAAUUCGAUGCAACGCGAAGAACCUUACCUGGUCUUGACAUGUACGGAAUCUCUUAGAGAUAGGAGAGUGCCUUCGGGANCCGUAACACAGGUGCUGCAUGGCUGUCGUCAGCUCGUGUCGUGAGAUGUUGGGUUAAGUCCCGCAACGAGCGCAACCCUUGUCAUUAGUUGCCAUCAUUAAGUUGGGCACUCUAAUGAGACUGCCGGUGANANACCGGAGGAAGGUGGGGAUGACGUCAAGUCCUCAUGGCCCUUAUGACCAGGGCUUCACACGUCAUACAAUGGUCGGUACAGAGGGUAGCGAAGCCGCGAGGUGAAGCCAAUCUCAGAAAGCCGAUCGUAGUCCGGAUUGCACUCUGCAACUCGAGUGCAUGAAGUCGGAAUCGCUAGUAAUCGCAGGUCAGCAUACUGCGGUGAAUACGUUCCCGGGUCU
Molecule: ribosomal RNA, 568 nt
Filed under: uncultured Neisseriaceae bacterium
Lineage: Bacteria; Pseudomonadati; Pseudomonadota; Betaproteobacteria; Neisseriales; Neisseriaceae
Description: bacterial SSU rRNA
Rfam family: Bacterial small subunit ribosomal RNA
Source: RNAcentral